Molecule: ribosomal RNA, 681 nt
Filed under: uncultured Bacillota bacterium
Lineage: Bacteria; Bacillati; Bacillota
Description: bacterial SSU rRNA
Rfam family: Bacterial small subunit ribosomal RNA
Source: RNAcentral
UGGCGGCGUGCCUACACAUGCAAGUCGAGCGAGAAUUUGGUGGAAGAAGCUUCGGCCUAUGAAACUAGAUGACAGCGGCGGACGGGUGAGUAACGCGUGGGUAACCUGCCCUAUGGAGGGGGAUAACACAGAGAAAUCUGUGCUAAUACCGCAUAAGCGCACAGUAUCGCAUGAUACAGUGUGAAAAACUCCGGUGCCAUAGGAUGGACCCGCGUCUGAUUAGCUAGUUGGUGAGGUAAUGGCUCACCAAGGCGACGAUCAGUAGCCGACCUGAGAGGGUGAUCGGCCACAUUGGGACUGAGACACGGCCCAAACUCCUACGGGAGGCAGCAGUGGGGAACAUUGCACAAUGGAGGAAACUCUGAUGCAGCGACGCCGCGUGAAGGAAGAAGGUUUUCGGAUCGUAAACUUCUAUCAGCAGGGAAGAAAAUGACGGUACCUGACUAAGAAGCCCCGGCUAACUACGUGCCAGCAGCCGCGGUAAUACGUAGGGGGCAAGCGUUAUCCGGAAUUACUGGGUGUAAAGGGAGCGUAGGCGGUAGAGUAAGUUAGAUGUGAAAGCCCAAGGCUCAACCUUGGGACUGCAUUUNAAACUGCUUUACUAGAGUACAGGAGAGGAAAGUGGAAUUCCUAGUGUANCGGUGAAAUGCGUAAAUNUUAGGAGGAACNCCNGUGGCGAAG